Molecule: ribosomal RNA, 250 nt
Filed under: uncultured bacterium
Lineage: Bacteria
Description: partial 16S ribosomal RNA
Rfam family: Bacterial small subunit ribosomal RNA
Source: RNAcentral
UACGAAGGAUCCAAGCGUUGUCCGGAUUUACUGGGUUUAAAGGGUGCGUAGGCGGAUUAUUAAGUCAGUGGUGAAAGCUUGCAGCUUAACUGUAAAAUUGCCAUUGAAACUGAUAAUCUCGAAUAUGGUUGAGGUGGUUGGAAUGUAUCAUGUAGCGGUGAAAUGCUUAGAUAUGAUACAGAACACCGAUUGCGAAGGCAGAUCACUAAACCAUUAUUGACGCUGAGGCACGAAAGCGUGGGGAUCAAAC